Molecule: ribosomal RNA, 451 nt
Filed under: uncultured organism
Description: partial 16S ribosomal RNA
Rfam family: Bacterial small subunit ribosomal RNA
Source: RNAcentral
CACUCCUGCGGGAGGCAGCAGUGGGGAAUUUUACGCAAUGGGGGAAACCCUGACGUAGCGACACCGCGUGAGCGAAGAAGCCCUUUGGGGUGUAAAGCUCUGUCAGCUGGAACGAAAACAAUGACGGUACCAGCAGAGGAAGCAUCGGCUAACUACGUGCCAGCAGCCGCGGUAAGACGUAGGAUGCGAGCGUUGUCCGGAUUUAUUGGGCGUAAAGAGUUCGUAGGUGGUUUGUUAAGUUUGGUGUUAAAGAUCGGGGCUCAACCCUGGGACUGCACUGAAUACUGGCAGACUCGAGUGUGGUAGAGGCUAGUGGAAUUCCCAGUGUAGCGGUGAAAUGCGUAGAUAUUGGGAAGAACACCGGUGGCGUAGGCGACUAGCUGGGCCAUAACUGACGCUGAGGAACGAAAGCCAGGGGAGCGAAUGGGAUUAGAUACCCCUGUAGUCCCAU